GGCAGGUUGAAGGUUGGGUAACACUAACUGGAGGACCGAACCGACUAAUGUUGAAAAAUUAGCGGAUGACUUGUGGCUGGGGGUGAAAGGCCAAUCAAACCGGGAGAUAGCUGGUUCUCCCCGAAAGCUAUUUAGGUAGCGCCUCGUGAACUCAUCUCCGGGGGUAGAGCACUGUUUCGGCAAGGGGGUCAUCCCGACUUACCAACCCGAUGCAAACUGCGAAUACCGGAGAAUGUUAUCACGGGAGACACACGGCGGGUGCUAACGUCCGUCGUGAAGAGGGAAACAACCCAGACCGCCAGCUAAGGUCCCAAAGUCAUGGUUAAGUGGGAAACGAUGUGGGAAGGCCCAGACAGCCAGGAUGUUGGCUUAGAAGCAGCCAUCAUUUAAAGAAAGCGUAAUAGCUCACUGGUCGAGUCGGCCUGCGCGGAAGAUGUAACGGGGCUAAACCAUG
This 454-nucleotide ribosomal RNA is filed under the name Escherichia coli. Its description in RNAcentral is "partial 23S ribosomal RNA". It matches the Rfam family "Bacterial large subunit ribosomal RNA", at positions 739 to 1191 of the family's 2925-position model. The record is from RNAcentral. Lineage: Bacteria; Pseudomonadati; Pseudomonadota; Gammaproteobacteria; Enterobacterales; Enterobacteriaceae.